RNAcentral lists this small nuclear RNA (156 nucleotides) under Salix viminalis (osier). It matches the Rfam family "U1 spliceosomal RNA". From Rfam's summary of the family: U1 is a small nuclear RNA (snRNA) component of the spliceosome (involved in pre-mRNA splicing). Its 5' end forms complementary base pairs with the 5' splice junction, thus defining the 5' donor site of an intron. There are significant differences in sequence and secondary structure between metazoan and yeast U1 snRNAs, the latter being much longer (568 nucleotides as compared to 164 nucleotides in human). The record is from RNAcentral. Lineage: Eukaryota; Viridiplantae; Streptophyta; Magnoliopsida; Malpighiales; Salicaceae.
AUACUUACCUGGACGGGGUCUAUGGGCGAUCAUCAAGGUUCAUGGCCUAGGUCAGUGACAGCCAUUGCACUUUGGCUGGGUGCUGGCUUAAGGUCUCCCAAGAGGGAGAUCCUACGUCAAAAUUUGUGGCAGAGCUGCGCAAGCCGCGGCCCCUGC